This 553-nucleotide ribosomal RNA is filed under the name uncultured Nitrososphaerota archaeon. RNAcentral's name for it is "bacterial SSU rRNA". It matches the Rfam family "Archaeal small subunit ribosomal RNA", at positions 325 to 879 of the family's 1478-position model. The record is from RNAcentral. Lineage: Archaea; Thermoproteati; Nitrososphaerota.
ACGGGGUGCAGCAGGCGCGAAACCUUUGCAAUGUGCGCAAGCACGACAAGGUUAAUCCGAGUGUUUCCUGCUAAAGGAAUCUUUUGUUAGUCGUAAAACCACUGAUGAAUAAGGGGUGGGCAAGUUCUGGUGUCAGCCGCCGCGGUAAAACCAGUACCUCAAGUGGUCAGGAGGAUUAUUGGGCCUAAAGCAUCCGUAGCCGGCUCUGCAAGUUUUCGGUUAAAUCCAUUUGCUUAACAAAUGGGCUGCCGAAAAUACUACAUAGCUAGGGAGUGGGAGAGGUAGACGGUAUUCGGUAGGAAGGGGUAAAAUCCUUUGAUCUAUUGAGGACCACCUAUGGCGAAGGCAGUCUACCAGAACACGUUCGACGGUGAGGGAUGAAAGCUGGGGGAGCAAACCGGAUUAGAUACCCGGGUAGUCCCAGCUGUAAACGAUGCAGACUCGGUGAUGCGCUGGCUUGUGGCCAGUGCAGUGCCGCAGGGAAGCCGUUAAGUUUGCCGCCUGGGAAGUACGUACGCAAGUAUGAAACUUAAAGGAAUUGGCGGGGGUGCAC